This 581-nucleotide long non-coding RNA is filed under the name Nicotiana tabacum (common tobacco). RNAcentral's name for it is "long non-coding RNA (NTAB_LNC003558)". The record is from RNAcentral. Lineage: Eukaryota; Viridiplantae; Streptophyta; Magnoliopsida; Solanales; Solanaceae.
GGGUCAGAAAUAGUACAAGUUGAACAUAAAGUUGUUGAUCUAAACAACAAGAGAAGACAAACAUUCCAAUUCCAAAGUUAUCGUCUUUGUAGAGUUAAACAAAAGCUACAUCGAGUAUGUAAUGUAGAAUUUGACUUUGCAGAAUUAGCAAAGCGAGAAUCACACACACAAAAAGGUCAUUAAUUCAACCAUGUAUAGCAAAAGAAAGAAAGACCAGCAAUUACAGGGAGUGGAAAAAAGAUACUCGGUAGAAUAAAAGUAGGAAAAGCAACUCACUUUGAGAAAGAUUCUUGAAAUAUAUAUAGUCUUUAAUUAAGCUGGCAUGUCUGGCUGGCUAUAUGACUAAUUUCAAGAACUGAAAAACAUCAUAAGAAUUUGGUAAAGUCACUUCACAUAUAUAUAUAUAUAUAUAAAGGGGUGGCUUGCUUUUAAUUUUGUUACCUAAGGCAGUCAGAGUUCAGAACCCAUGACAUCCACAGAAAUUUUUGUAACUGAGGAGAGAAUAUAGAGAAGAGAGAGAGCACUACAGAGAAAUGGGACACAGUUAAAGUUGUGUACUAGUAUAUGAAUAAAGGUCCGCC